CCUAAUCAGUAGUGGAUGACAUAUUUAUAUCUCUACUUAACCAUUUUAUAAUAGAGAGAAGAUAUGAAAUUUUCACUCUGAAGGGCUUAGUUGGAAGACUGUUAAAGAAUUCCAGGGCCGUAACUACCUACAUGUAUGAAGCAGGUGAGGCAACUGCCUCCCCUGAAUUUUCUACACCAAUUUUUUUUUUAAGUAAUAAAAUGAAAUACUGACAAUAUGUAUACGAAGAACUGGAAUUUAUAUUAUAAACAACACAAGUUUACAGUUUUAACAGUGUUAUCAUGAUACGUGACAUAUCUGUUAUUUUCCGGAUUUUUGAUCGAAAGUGAACCGUUUCAGUAUUUAAAAAAAAUCAUGUGGCCGCCCGUCUGUUAUUCAGUAUUCGUUCGAGAACACAUAUGAAACUUUGCAGCAAUGCUUUCGACAAUUUUGAAUAAAACUUAACUAUUCACAUUUAUUUAGGGGCUCAAUUAAGUAGAGGAAGUUCCCUUUGUAUUGUGAAUCUUUUAUAAUAUCGGAAAUUUGUUACCGGCUGUAUCAGCUGUUGGGUCAACGUCACCCAAUCGUACGAGAACAUUAUGGUCAAUGCCUUAGUAGUUAAACACUCCCAUUCGUUGUAGCAGGGACUUUCUAUACUAAGUAUAUACUAGUUUAGAAAAUCCCUGGUUGUAGUUAUAUACAUGUCUGUUCAGCUUUCAACAAUAUUGAAAUUCAAGGUCCUCGAUAAAAAAAGAUCUUGCGUUCUAUGAUCUU
Molecule: long non-coding RNA, 753 nt
Filed under: Mytilus galloprovincialis (Mediterranean mussel)
Lineage: Eukaryota; Metazoa; Mollusca; Bivalvia; Mytilida; Mytilidae
Source: RNAcentral